RNAcentral lists this ribosomal RNA (424 nucleotides) under uncultured Nitrosospira sp. RNAcentral describes it as "bacterial SSU rRNA". It matches the Rfam family "Bacterial small subunit ribosomal RNA", at positions 207 to 622 of the family's 1533-position model. The record is from RNAcentral. Lineage: Bacteria; Pseudomonadati; Pseudomonadota; Betaproteobacteria; Nitrosomonadales; Nitrosomonadaceae.
CAAGACCUUGCGCUUUUGGAGCGGCCGAUGUCUGAUUAGCUAGUUGGUGAGGUAAAGGCUUACCAAGGCGUCGAUCAGUAGCUGGUCUGAGAGGACGACCAGCCACACUGGGACUGAGACACGGCCCAGACUCCUACGGGAGGCAGCAGUGGGGAAUUUUGGACAAUGGGGGGAACCCUGAUCCAGCCAUGCCGCGUGAGUGACGAAGGCCUUCGGGUUGUAAAGCUCUUUCAGUCGGAACGAAACGGUCACGGUUAAUAUCCGUGACAACUGACGGUACCGGAAGAAGAAGCACCGGCUAACUACGUGCCAGCAGCCGCGGUAAUACGUAGGGUGCGGGCGUUAAUCGGAAUUGCUGGGCGUAAAGCGUGCGCUGGCGGUUUUGUAAGUCAGAUGUGGAAUCCCCGGGCUUAACCUGGGAACU